GUGUAGAAUGACGGUACCCGAAUAAGAAGCACCGGCUAACUACGUUGCCAGCAGCCGCGGUAAUACGUAGGGUGCGAGCGUUAAUCGGAAUUACUGGGCGUAAAGCGUGCGCAGGCGGUUUGGUAAGUCAGAUGUGAAAUCCCCGGGCUCAACCUGGGAACUGCAUUUGAGACUGCCAGGCUGGAGUUUGGCAGAGGGGGGUGGGAAUUCCACGUGUAGCAGUGAAAUGCGUAGAGAUGUGGAGGAACACCGAUGGCGAAGGACAGCCCCCUCGGGCCAAUACUGACGCUCAUUGCACGAAAGCGUGGGGAGCAAACAGGAUUAGAUACCCUGGUAGUCCACGCCCUAAACGAUGUCAACUAGGUGUUGGAGGGUUAAACCUUUUAGUGCCGUAGACUAACGCGUGAAGUUGACCGCCUGGGGAGUACGGCCGCAAGGCUAAAACUCAAAGGAAUUGACGGGG
RNAcentral lists this ribosomal RNA (463 nucleotides) under uncultured bacterium. RNAcentral's name for it is "bacterial SSU rRNA". It matches the Rfam family "Bacterial small subunit ribosomal RNA", at positions 462 to 918 of the family's 1533-position model. The record is from RNAcentral.